GCUCCGGUGGCCUAGUAGUUAGAGCGUCUGCCUCGGAUGUGUGAGGUCGCUGGUUCGAACCCCGGCCGAGGCA
This is a non-coding RNA of Potamilus streckersoni, 73 nucleotides long. Lineage: Eukaryota; Metazoa; Mollusca; Bivalvia; Unionida; Unionidae. The record is from the annotation of a GenBank genome assembly.